UAAUACGUAGGGGGCGAGCGUUGCUCGGAUUUACUGGGCGUAAAGAGCGCGUAGGCGGCCAGGUAAGUCCGUUGUGAAAGCCCUCGGCUCAACCGAGGAUCCGCAUCGGAAACUACUUGGCUUGAGUCCAGGAGAGGAGGGUGGAAUUCCCGGUGUAGCGGUGAAAUGCGUAKAUAUCGGGAGGAACACCGGUGGCGAAGGCGGCCCUCUGGAAUGGUACUGACGCUGAGGCGCGAAAGCUGGGGGAGCGAACGGGAUUAGAUACCCCGGUAGUCCCAGCCGUAAACGAUGGGCACUAGGUGUGGGAGGUAUUGACCCCUUCUGUGCCGUAGCUAACGCAUUAAGUGCCCCGCCUGGGGAGUACGACCGCAAGGUUGAAACUCAAAGGAAUUGACGGGGGGCCCGCACAAGCGGUGGAGCAUGUGGUUUUAAUUCGACGCAACGCGAAGAA
RNAcentral lists this ribosomal RNA (451 nucleotides) under uncultured bacterium. RNAcentral describes it as "bacterial SSU rRNA". It matches the Rfam family "Bacterial small subunit ribosomal RNA", at positions 521 to 968 of the family's 1533-position model. The record is from RNAcentral.